UGAAACCGAUUCAGGGGUAAACCUGAGAAACCCGAAAGGUCGAAUGGGGAAAUUCAUUCGCGUUUCGAUGGUCGGCGUUGAACGGUUGUGUGUGACGGACGGGGUCCGCUUCGUUCGCUCCCUCCGUUUUUCGAACCGACUUCGAACGCGUGCACUUUUCCUCUAGUAGGACGUUGCGAUCCGUUGGGUGUCGAUUUAAGGCCUGCGAUGGAGCUCGCGUGGACGUUUCGGCGUACCAUACGAACUCGCGGUGUCCCGAUCGGCUGCUCGACGGUAUAAAGAUGGCGCGGGGCCGCUACAUAGUUAGCGUUCGACCUACGGCAAGCACGUUCGGUGUCGACGGCGAUCAGACCUGGUCGGAUCCCGUCCCCGGACGACUGUUGGCUCGUUGUGUUCUCGAACAGACCUCGUUGAAACGCCGAUCUGCGACGCUAUAGCUUUGGGUACUUUCAGGACCCGUCUUGAAACCGGGACCAAGGA
RNAcentral lists this ribosomal RNA (480 nucleotides) under Oediopalpa sp. 2 LS-2014. RNAcentral's name for it is "eukaryotic LSU rRNA". The record is from RNAcentral. Lineage: Eukaryota; Metazoa; Arthropoda; Insecta; Coleoptera; Chrysomelidae.